Molecule: ribosomal RNA, 398 nt
Filed under: uncultured bacterium
Lineage: Bacteria
Description: partial 16S ribosomal RNA
Rfam family: Bacterial small subunit ribosomal RNA
Source: RNAcentral
AUACGUAGGGUGCGAGCGUUGUCCGGAAUUAAUGGGCGUAAAGAGCUCGUAGGUGGUUUGUCGCGUCGUCUGUGAAAUUCCGGGGCUUAACUCCGGGCGUGCAGGCGAUACGGGCAUAACUUGAGUACUGUAGGGGAGACUGGAAUUCCUGGUGUCGCGGUGAAAUGCGCAGAUAUCAGGAGGAACACCGGUGGCGAAGGCGGGUCUCUGGGCAGUAACUGACGCUGAGGAGCGAAAGCAUGGGUAGCGAACAGGAUUAGAUACCCUGGUAGUCCAUGCCGUAAACGGUGGGCGCUAGGUGUAGGGGUCUUCCACGACUUCUGUGCCGUAGCUAACCCAUUAAGCGCCCCGCCUGGGGAGUACGGCCGCAAGGCUAAAACUCAAAGGAAUUGACGGGG